CUAAGUUUGAUGGCGACCGGCGCACGGGUGAGUAACACGUAUCCAACCUGCCGAUGACUCGGGGAUAGCCUUUCGAAAGAAAGAUUAAUACCCGAUGGCAUAGUUCUUCCGCAUGGUAGAACUAUUAAAGAAUUUCGGUCAUCGAUGGGGAUGCGUUCCAUUAGGUUGUUGGCGGGGUAACGGCCCACCAAGCCUUCGAUGGAUAGGGGUUCUGAGAGGAAGGUCCCCCACAUUGGAACUGAGACACGGUCCAAACUCCUACGGGAGGCAGAUG
This 274-nucleotide ribosomal RNA is filed under the name uncultured bacterium. RNAcentral describes it as "partial 16S ribosomal RNA". It matches the Rfam family "Bacterial small subunit ribosomal RNA", at positions 79 to 351 of the family's 1533-position model. The record is from RNAcentral.